UUGAAUUUCAGCACGAAGUGGUUGGUGAGGAUGUGGCGAAGGAUUCUUCGAACCGCGUCGCCAGGAUUGCAGCCCCCAAGCGCACUAAGGUGUGCUGCCUGCAGAAGAUCCUCCACCCUUUGAAGGUCUUCCUCGCAGUUCAUUGGGAACUUAAAUUCCUCAGAUAGAGUGUCUGCUGCUGCUGCUGCUGCUGUCGUUUUUUGCCUAGUAAGGGCCUGGAGGAGGAGGUUGUUCUGCCUCACCAAGGCCUUCAACUCCUCCACAGCACGCAGGAGUGCAUGAUCCCGUUCUACAGGACAGAAAAACAUCAUGACUGUCAUGUCAAGAGGUGCUCCUGGUUUGGGCUUUUUUCUGGUUCAUACGCGCUGCAUCAUAAUUGGCUGUUGAAGACAACAAUGAAUUCUCAUCUGGCAUAGCGCUUUGGAUGACUGCAAUUUUCGUCCGCUUGGUGUCUUUAUACGGUGGCCAAAAAGACACCUUGCCGUCCAAACUUAGCCACGAGCAAGGCACAACCUCCACCUCAUUUGACUCGGUAAAAUGAACUACCGCAUACAUCUAAACAGAAAAUACGUUUUGAAAAAGUUUAACACAUUGAAUUUAGAUAACCGAUUUAAUUGAUU
Molecule: long non-coding RNA, 620 nt
Filed under: Gadus morhua (Atlantic cod)
Lineage: Eukaryota; Metazoa; Chordata; Actinopteri; Gadiformes; Gadidae
Description: lncRNA (ENSGMOG00000034592.1)
Source: RNAcentral